RNAcentral lists this microRNA (22 nucleotides) under Heligmosomoides polygyrus. Its description in RNAcentral is "hpo-miR-228-3p". Its record names the gene hpo-miR-228-3p. The record is from miRBase by way of RNAcentral. Lineage: Eukaryota; Metazoa; Nematoda; Chromadorea; Rhabditida; Heligmosomidae.
GUGCAUCCAGUGGUUCCAUACC